This is a long non-coding RNA of Sapajus apella (tufted capuchin), 5284 nucleotides long. RefSeq lists it as uncharacterized. The transcript is spliced from 2 exons. Lineage: Eukaryota; Metazoa; Chordata; Mammalia; Primates; Cebidae. The record is from RefSeq and is a predicted model, not a curated record.
GCUCAUAGUUCUGCAGACUUUACAGGAAGCGUGGUGCUGACAUAUACUUGGUUUCCUUUUGACAUCCUGGGGAGGCUUCAGGAAGCUUCCAAUCAUAGUGGAAAGCAAAGGGGGAGCAGUCCUGUCACUUGGUGAAAGCAGGAACAAGAAAGAGAGAGUGGGUGUAAGCGAGCAGGCGUCACACACUUUUAAACAACCAGAUUUCAUGAGAACUUACUAUCAUGAGGACAGCACAAUGUGGAUGGUGCUGAACCAUUCAUGAGAAAACUUUAGUCAUAAUCCCAUCACCUCCCAACAGGCCCCCCUUCCAAUACUGAGGAUCACAAUUUCACCUGAUAUUUGUGUGGCGACAAAUAUUGAAACUAUAUCAAUGUGUCAAGCCCUCAGUCAAGGAUAUAGUCUCUCUUUGUACUAUCUUCCUAUUUAACAUCUACUUAGCAGCUCUGGUGGAAAAAUUUGCUGACUACUAGACUAGGUUGUAUUUCUAUACCGCUGGCACUUUUUUUUAAUCAAAAUAUCCAUUCUAUUUUAUUGUUGUUUUCAAUGUUAGAUACUGAACUCCUAGAGAUCAGGUGCUAGGCUGAAUCCUCAUUGCUAGGACCAUAGAGGUACUCAUAAAUAUUAGGUGCAUGAUUACAUCAUGAUGGGCAUUCAGAAAGAAGUGAAAGUCCCAUUUCCUAAACUCUUUUAAUCUGUUUAUAUGCAAAUAUUUCAUUAUGUUAUUCUCCUCAGAACUCUCUUAAGUUCCUUAUUUCCUUCAGGACAUUUUAACACUCAGGGUUACUUAGCUUUCUGAGGCUUUAUUGUCAGCAGCAGUAACCAGCUCUGGGUAGCUUAGACAGGAAAGAAACUAUUAAAGGAGGAUUGGGUAACUCCCACACAAAAUGGAUGGGAGUGUAGAGAAUCAGGUUUGAAGGCAAGUGGGAAGUCAGGGAGUUUUGAAAGCAUGAGUAGUCUGAUGCAGAUGCCACAGCUGCUGUUGAAUUUUUCUUGAAAGACUACUGCUGUGACUGCUCAUUUAAUCUCACCCACACUUUGUUUCCCAGGAUUCACUGGUUUAGGUGGGAGUGACUGAUUGCUGAGUCUAGCUCUUGUACCUUUACACUGGCUACCCUGGGUUUAUGGAGAGGAAGAACCCCUCUCUCCCUUUGGUCUGAAAUGGGAGGUGGAGCCUUGCAUCCUUCCAAAACUCACAAUGGACAGUUCCACAAAACUUGGAAUUGUAAAUGCAAGGCAGCUUAACAACAAUAACAGCAAAAGAAGUUACAAUGAUCCAUCAGAGGUUUCUCUUCAGUCUUAUAAUCUGAAGCUCCUGAGUUUGUCUGUCUGAAAGGGCUGGUUGAAUCUUUUGCCAGAAUUACUAGGCUGGAUGAUCUGGGAAGAUUGCUAGAUGACAGUUUCCUAGUUUAAGGGAAAUAAAAACAAACUUUGCCAGGGUAAUUUUAUUUUUAAAAUGAGAUGAUGUGUAUUAAGUGCUUAUAAUGCCUGGCACUUAGUAUACAGUCAAUAAACAGUAGUCAGUGAAAUACAGUAUAUAAUUUUGGCUCCAGUUUACCUUCUUAGCUAUCUCAUUUCUCCUUCCAACAUGAAAACUCUCCAUAAAUCCAAAAUGUUUUUGCUAUUAUUCUUAAAUAUGCCCCGUGCUUUCCACCUUUUCUUCUCCAUAUGCCACCUCUUUUUCUUCCAUCUUUCUUUUAUGACUCUGUUCAAAUCUUUGCUGCUUCUCAGUAAGAAAGAAGUACUGGCCCAUCUUUUUAUUAUUGCUCUUUGCCAUCCAGUUUGGCACUUAGCAUUUUAUGGUAGUUUUCUUGGUAUUUGUAUGUUAUUUUUGAUAAAGUAGUCUGCUAGAGGGCAAACGGGGCUAUUUUUGGGGAAAAACAGUUUAGUAGAAGGAACGUAAGGCUUGGAGUUAGAAGUCUUUGGUUCCAGCCUAGCGCUAGCUAGGACUUUGGACAAGUUUCUGAAUGUGUUCUUUUUAUAUAAAAUGGAGAUAACAUUAUAUGAUUUUGGUGAGGGUCAGAUGAAAUAUGUGUGUGAAGGAAAAGGCUGUGUAAACUGUGUAACGUAUAAUUGCUUUUGUAUGGAUCUUGUACCUAAUGUCAUGCCUUACACAUAGGCUUAAUAUAUUAAUGAUAAUGCUUUUUUUAAACAGUCCUUUCAGAUUUUCAUGGCAUCAAAAGACAUGUAAUUUUUUUGUACAUUUAAAAAAAUUGUAAUCAGAUUGUGAUGAAAAUGUUAUAGCUAUCUUUGAUUUUGUUCAUGUGUAAUAUUCAGUGAUUACUCUUGGUUCCAAUAAAAUGUUGUAUUGUUUUAUUAUACUGUUGCGUAAUUUAUUAGAUUUCAAAUUCCAUCAGAUUAUUUUUGUUCAGUUAAAUAAAGAAUAUAUUUCUUUGCUGAAUCACAGCUGAUGAUUUCUCUUGAAGAUUUUGCCCUAGAAACUAAUUCUAAAGAGAGUGAUUUGAGAGGCUUGUGUUCAAAAGUGUACGAUAUGGGAACAGGUCCAGCUGGCAACUUUUUUUUUUAAUGUUUAGAUUAGUCUUAGAGGGAGAAAAUAUACAGAGAUUUUAAAAUACAGUUCGUUUUUCUGAAUGGUCUUUUCUUUCAUCUCUCCAACAUCAUAAAAGUUGGUAUUUUAGUGGGAAAUUAUUCAUGAAUAGGCCCCGGAUACAUAGCUGUGGCCCAACAGGUCUAGGGAAAGAUUACAUAGGCUUUGCCUCUCUUCAUUUAGGAGACUUGUGAUUUUAUUUUAUUUGUUUUUGUUAUAUGACUAGCUCUUGUUAGAUUUUGCAGUGAAAAUUUUCUCUAAACAAUUUCAUCGGUAAACAAAUAAGUUUUGAUGGAAAGUGUUUCCACAGGAGGCUAUAUUGGAAUUUGACAAAACCAAGUUUUGUUAAGCAAAUGUAUAAUUUUUAAAAAGCAACUAAAUGUUACACCUUACCAAGGAGGAUAUACAGUGUCUUAAUCAGCUGGGUGAUAACUUCCAUUGGGUGGGUUAAGCAACCAACAUUUAUUUCUUCUAGUUCUGAAGCUGGGAAGUCCAAAGUGAAGAUACUGGUAUAUUCAGCUUCUAAUGAGGGCUCUUUACAGGUUUGUAGAUGGCUGCCUUCUUCCUUUGUCCUCAGAUGAUAGAGAUUGAGAGAGCUGUGGUCUUUUUUCCUCUUCUUGCAAGCACACCAAUCCCAUCAUAGGGACUCCACCAUCAUGACCUCACCUAAAUCUGAUUACCUCCCAAAGGCUCCUUUUCUAAAUACCAUUAUACUGGGGGUUAGAGCUUCAACAUAGGACAUUUGAGGGGUGACAAACAUUCAGUUAAUAACAUUCAGGUGGCAAGUAAGCAUAUAAAAAUGCUCAACAUCAUCUAUCAAUAGAGAAUUGCAAGUUGCAACAACAAUGACACGUUACCACAUACUAGUGGAAUGGUGGAAAUGCGAAACUGACACUACCAAAUGCUGUGGAGCAACAGGAAUUAUGAUGGAAUGCAAAAUGGUACAUCUCCUUUGGAAGUCAAUUCGGCAGUUUCUUACAAAAGUAAACAUACUCUUACUAUAUGACCCAGCAAUUGCACACCUUGUGUUUACCUAAGUGGGCUGAAAACUUAAGUCCACACAAAACCUGCACAUGGAUGUUUAAAAGCUUUAUUCAUAAUUUUGAUAACUUGGAAGCAACCAAAAUGUCCUUUAGUAGAUGUACAAAUCAAUAAACUGUGGCACAUCUAGACAAUGGGUAUUAUUUAUUGCUAAAAAUAAAUGAACUAUAAACCCAUGAAAAGAUUAUGAUUUCAUAUAUAACAUUCUGGAAAAGACAAAACUAUGGAGACAGUAAAAAGAUCAGUCCUUUCCAGGGGUUAGCAGGGAGAGGGACAAAUAGACAGAGUACAAGGUUUUUUUUUUUUUUUUUUUUUAGGACAGAGACUAUUCUGUAUGAGAACAUAAUGGUGGAUACUCAUUAUACAUUGUGAAAAUCCAUAGAAUAUACACCAAGUGUGAACCAUAAUGUGAACUGUGGGCUUUGGAUGAUGGUGAUGUGUCAAUGUAGGUUCGUCAGUUGUAGCAAUGUACCACUGUGGUGUGAGAUGUUGAUAAUGGGGGAAGUUAUAUGUGUGUCAGAGGCCGAGGGUAUAUAGGAACUCUUACUGGGUUCAAUUUUGCUGAGAACCUUAAACUAGAAAAAGUAGUCUAUUAAAAAUGUUUAUAGCGGUGGGGAGAAAAAGCCUUUCAAUUUAGCCAUCAGGCCAGAUCUUCUGACAUCAACCAGUAUACUGCAAUUCAAUUCUGGCACCAACCACCCUGAAUUAGUGUCAGAUUCCACAGUUUGAAGGGCAUGGUCCUCAGCAAGACCAUCCUCCACGUCAGACACCAGCUGCGAGUCAAGUUCCCAGGCCACCCCAUACUACUUGUCAACUGGCUCCAAAUCCAGGGGGUUCCCAGACCCUUCUCACUACCUCUCCAUAAGAUUUCCCUCACAUCAGAUGCCAUUUGCAAGCUCAGGGAUCUCCAGGUCACCCAUAUUUCUGACCAACUGACUAUAUAUUCAGAGGGGUUCCUAGAAGACACAUAUAGCAAGGUCUAGAGCGUCCUGAAUGCAGAGCUUUUAGCCCUCUCCCUGUAUACUUAGAGCACAUAGCCCUCCCAGCACAUCAGUGGAUUCACCAACCAGAAAGCUCUCCUUUACUUCAGUGUCUAGCGUUUCUUUUGGGACUUCAUGAUGUAGGCUUUAUUGAUUGAACAUUGACUAAUUGAUUGAAAUAAAUUUUUAGCCCCACUUUCCUCCUAAGAGGUUGGGUUGGGCCAAAGGCCCCUAAUCAAACAAUUAGUCUUUCUGGUGACUAGCUGCUAUUUUGAGCCGUCUUGUUAACAGAAACCCUGGUGUGAAUCAAGGCGCUUAUGAAUAACAAAGAUCCUUUUAUCACCUGGGAAAUUCCAAGCAUGAAGCUGCUUGCCAGGAACCCAAGACAGACAAAUUCAAGACCAGGUGCUGGAAAAAUAGUAGCUCUUGAUAACCUAAUUUUUUUCAAAAGUGUAUCAUGGAAAGCUGAGGUGGCUGAGAAGUAUUUAAGAUUGAAAGAUUUAAGAGGAAAAGCUGAUUUACCGAUCUCUAUUAAUGUAGUAUUUUAAUAGUUUAGCUGUUUUAGCUAUUAAUAUUUAUCAUGCAGUUUUGAAUUUUAUAUGUAUAAAUAUAUUUCUUUGAUAAAAAGAAGCGAAGACUACUUGGAAAGAUCAGCCAGUAGAACAACAGAGGACCCUUUCCAGUUUUUACUGACUCACACUAUUAAAACAGAUGACCU